This 254-nucleotide unclassified non-coding RNA is filed under the name uncultured Parcubacteria group bacterium. RNAcentral's name for it is "contains 16S-23S intergenic spacer region". It matches the Rfam family "Bacterial small subunit ribosomal RNA", at positions 524 to 776 of the family's 1533-position model. The record is from RNAcentral.
UACAGAGGCCCCAAGCGUUACCCGGAAUCACUGGGCGUAAAGGAUGCGUAGGUGGCUGUGUUAGUCCCUCGUGAAAUCUUUCGGCUCAACCGAAAGAAUGCCGGGGGAAACGGCACAGCUAGAGGACGUAAGAGGUAUGCGGAACUCACGGUGUAGGGGUAAAAUCCGUUGAUAUCGUGGGGAACACCAUAGGCGAAGGCGGCAUACUGGGACGUUCCUGACACUGAGGCAUGAAAGCGUAGGUAGCGAACGGG